This 365-nucleotide ribosomal RNA is filed under the name uncultured bacterium. Its description in RNAcentral is "bacterial SSU rRNA". It matches the Rfam family "Bacterial small subunit ribosomal RNA", at positions 434 to 793 of the family's 1533-position model. The record is from RNAcentral.
UUUCAGCAGUGAGGAAGUGGGUAUGUUAAUAGCAUACUCAUUUGACGUUAGCUGCAGAAGAAGCACCGGCUAACUCCGUGCCAGCAGCCGCGGUAAUACGGAGGGUGCGAGCGUUAAUCGGAAUUACUGGGCGUAAAGCGCAUGCAGGUGGUUUGUUAAGUCAGAUGUGAAAGCCCGGGGCUCAACCUCGGAAUUGCAUUUGAAACUGGCAAACUAGAGUACUGUAGAGGGGGUAGAAUUUCAGGUGUAGCGGUGAAAUGCGUAGAGAUCUGAAGGAAUACCGGUGGCGAAGGCGGCCCCCUGGACAGAUACUGACACUCAGAUGCGAAAGCGUGGGGAGCAAACAGGAUUAGAUACCCUGGUAG